This 326-nucleotide ribosomal RNA is filed under the name uncultured eukaryote. RNAcentral describes it as "partial 18S ribosomal RNA". It matches the Rfam family "Eukaryotic small subunit ribosomal RNA", at positions 1470 to 1796 of the family's 1831-position model. The record is from RNAcentral.
CCCUUAGAUGUUCUGGGCCGCACGCGCGCUACACUGAUGCAUUCAACAAGCCUAGCCUUGACCGAGAGGUCCGGGUAAUCUUUGAAACUGCAUCGUGAUGGGGCUAGAUUAUUGCAAUUAUUAAUCUUCAACGAGGAAUGCCUAGUAAGCGUGAUUCAUCAAAUCGCGUUGAUUACGUCCCUGCCCUUUGUACACACCGCCCGUCGCUCCUACCGAUUGAAUGUGUUGGUGAGGAGCUCGGAUUGGCAGCAGUUGGUGGUUCUCCACCGGCUAUUGCUGAGAAGUCCUCCAAACCGCCCCAUUUAGAGGAAGGAGAAGUCGUAACA